ACAGUGGACGCGAGCAUCUGUGGCCAAGUUUUUAAGGGCGCACGGUGGAUGCCUUGGCACCAGGAACCGAUGAAGGACGUGGGAGGCCACGAUAGUCCCCGGGGAGUCGUCAACCAGGCUUUGAUCCGGGGGUUUCCGAAUGGGGAAACCCGGCAGUCGUCAUGGGCUGUCACCCGCUGCUGAACUCAUAGGCAGUGUGGAGGGAACGCGGGGAAGUGAAACAUCUCAGUACCCGCAGGAAGAGAAAACAACCGUGAUUCCGGGAGUAGUGGCGAGCGAAACUGGAUGAGGCCAAACCGUAUGUGUGUGAUACCCGGCAGGGGUUGCGCAUGCGGGGUUGUGGGAUCUCUCUUCCACGGUCUGCCGGCCGUGGGACGAGUCAGAAACCGUUGAUGUAGGCGAAGGACAUGCGAAAGGUCCGGCGUAGAGGGUAAGACCCCCGUAGUCGAAACAUUAGCGGCUCGUUUGAGAGACACCCAAGUAGCACGGGGCCCGAGAAAUCCCGUGUGAAUCUGGCGGGACCACCCGCUAAGCCUAAAUAUUCCCUGGUGACCGAUAGCGGAUAGUACCGUGAGGGAAUGGUGAAAAGUACCGCGGGAGCGGAGUGAAAUAGUACCUGAAACCGUGUGCCUACAAGCCGUGGGAGCGUCGCGCAUCGAGCUUGCUCGGUGCGUCGUGACUGCGUGCCUUUUGAAGAAUGAGCCUGCGAGUUAGCGGUGUGUAGCGAGGUUAACCCGUGUGGGGAAGCCGUAGCGAAAGCGAGUCCGAAGAGGGCGUUUGAGUUGCACGCUCUAGACCCGAAGCGGAGUGAUCUAGCCAUGGGCAGGUUGAAGCGGCUGUAAGAGGUCGUGGAGGACCGAACCCACCAGGGUUGAAAACCUGGGGGAUGACCUGUGGUUAGGGGUGAAAGGCCAAUCAAACUCCGUGAUAGCUGGUUCUCCCCGAAAUGCAUUUAGGUGCAGCGUCGUGUGUUUCUUGCCGGAGGUAGAGCACUGGAUAGGCGAUGGGCCCUACCGGGUUACUGACCUUAGCCAAACUCCGAAUGCCGGUAAGUGAGAGCGCGGCAGUGAGACUGUGGGGGAUAAGCUCCAUGGUCGAGAGGGAAACAGCCCAGAGCAUCGACUAAGGCCCCUAAGCGUACGCUAAGUGGGAAAGGAUGUGGAGUCGCAGAGACAACCAGGAGGUUGGCUUAGAAGCAGCCACCCUUGAAAGAGUGCGUAAUAGCUCACUGGUCUAGUGAUUCCGCGCCGACAAUGUAGCGGGGCUCAAGCGUACCGCCGAAGUCGUGUCAUUGCAGCAUGAGGGCCAACGCCCGCUGUGAUGGGUAGGGGAGCGUCGUGUGCCGGGUGAAGCAGCCGUGGAAGCGAGUUGUGGACGGUUCACGAGUGAGAAUGCAGGCAUGAGUAGCGAUUCACACGUGAGAAACGUGUGCGCCGAUUGACUAAGGGUUCCUGGGUCAAGCUGAUCUGCCCAGGGUAAGUCGGGACCUAAGGCGAGGCCGCCAGGCGUAGUCGAUGGAUAACCGGUCGAUAUUCCGGUACCCGCUGUGAAGCGUCAAACAUUGAAUCCAGUGAUGCUAAGCCCGUGAAGCCGUUCCGGACCCUUCGGGGAAUGGAAAGUGGUGGAGCCGGUGGCCCGAGCUGGUAGUAGGUGAGUGAUGGGGUGACGCAGGAAGGUAGUCCAUCCCGGGCGGUGGUUGUCCCGGGGUAAGGGUGUAGGCCGUGCGAUAGGUAAAUCCGUCGUACAUGUGGCUGAGACCUGAUGCCGAGCCGAUUGUGGUGAAGUGGAUGAUCCUAUGCUGUCGAGAAAAGCCUCUAGCGAGUUUCAUGGCGGCCCGUACCCUAAACCGACUCAGGUGGUCAGGUAGAGAAUACCGAGGCGUUCGGGUGAACUAUGGUUAAGGAACUCGGCAAAAUGCCCCCGUAACUUCGGGAGAAGGGGGGCCAUGUCUGGUGAUCCGAUUUACUCGGUGAGCUGGGUGUGGCCGCAGAGACCAGCGAGAAGCGACUGUUUACUAAAAACACAGGUCCGUGCGAAG
Molecule: ribosomal RNA, 2038 nt
Filed under: Streptomyces albidoflavus
Lineage: Bacteria; Bacillati; Actinomycetota; Actinomycetes; Kitasatosporales; Streptomycetaceae
Description: partial 23S ribosomal RNA
Rfam family: Bacterial large subunit ribosomal RNA
Source: RNAcentral